RNAcentral lists this long non-coding RNA (596 nucleotides) under Prunus persica (peach). RNAcentral describes it as "long non-coding RNA (PPER_LNC002610)". The record is from RNAcentral. Lineage: Eukaryota; Viridiplantae; Streptophyta; Magnoliopsida; Rosales; Rosaceae.
CUGGCUUGUAAGCCAACAGCUGUUUGUUUAGCAGUCUCAUGUAUUAUUGUUUCUUGAUUAUCUAUUGUAGGUUGGAGGUAGCUCUUGCUCAUCAAUGUACUCUGGCAGUGGUGUGGGUGGAAGCAGUUAUAUGGGUUCAGGCGGUUCUGGCUCGUACUACUUGAGGUAAUUUAAUUUGUUGUGUUAUUCAUGUUUUAUUAAGUCAGUGAUGCAUGCUUGAGUACGAGCCCAAGGUGCCCAAGUCAUUACUAUUUUUUCCUCUGGAGAUUUAUGUUUUUCGAAGUCACGGCUUCUCUUCUUUUGCUCUAAAAGGUCAUGCCCUACAGUAUGUGCUGAGAAUCUUUCAUUGUAUACAAUAGGGUUGUUGUGGUUCAUGCCCUCUUGGAUAUCCACAGAUUGGAUGCUAUGUCAGGCUGUAGUUAUUUUGCUGCAAGGAUACUCAAGCUGUCUCGUCUAAUUUAUCUCCUAUAAGAACUUCACCUGAUGGAAAGCUUGGAGUCAUGCUGCAUCCUUUGUUCUUAUGAAUAGUAGAUUAUAACAAGAGGAGGACGGAUUUUCUUAUUGUAAUAUCUAUCGUAUAGCCGUACGGCUCUUCC